Molecule: long non-coding RNA, 111 nt
Organism: Danio aesculapii
Lineage: Eukaryota; Metazoa; Chordata; Actinopteri; Cypriniformes; Danionidae
Exons: 3
Source: RefSeq, a predicted model, not a curated record
UGCAGAAAAAAAAAACAGCAUCUGGAGGUGAGCUGGAUCUGUCUGAUGCGUUUGGUCCAGAUACAGAGCCCAAAAAACCUGUGGUCCCACCUAAAGAAAGAGGAACUGGUA